RNAcentral lists this non-coding RNA (23 nucleotides) under Arabidopsis thaliana (thale cress). The record is from RNAcentral. Lineage: Eukaryota; Viridiplantae; Streptophyta; Magnoliopsida; Brassicales; Brassicaceae.
UCAACAAUUUUUAAUUUGAGCUC